Molecule: long non-coding RNA, 1462 nt
Organism: Gadus morhua (Atlantic cod)
Lineage: Eukaryota; Metazoa; Chordata; Actinopteri; Gadiformes; Gadidae
Exons: 6
Source: RefSeq, a predicted model, not a curated record
AUCCGGAAGCGCACACAGCUUUUGGCCGUGAUGUUAUGGGACUCUAAAUCGACGCCACUUCGACCUGGGCGGGACUUUACGUCCUACGUCACUCGCUAUGGGUCACUCGCUGGGAGUGCAUGUGUGCGCGUAGCCGUUUGUCUCAGGGAUCUGUGCACGAACGGUUGUGUCGAACGCGAUGGGGGAUCCACCCUGGGUACCGUCGUAUUUUAAAAUAAUAAAUACAAGCAAUGGAUACAUUUCUGGAUUUGUCCAGACUCAAAAAGAAUUGGAGAGUCUGCUGGAGGUCCACUCAAGGGCCACACUGACAUCGUUUGUCAAAUGGUCUGAACACAUAAAAGAUGGCACCAAAGAGAGGCAUCUAUGGCAGGUGGAGGAUUUCAAUGAAGACACCCCUCUAUGUGUAUAGAAAAGAAUGGUCCUUGCUUGUCAGCAUGGCAAAGCUCGACAGAAAAAAGAAAAGGAGAAACGUUCAGCAGAGCAUGUAUACACAAAAAAACGUUUUCAUGUCCAAAAUGGGAAGAAGUUGGACUGCCCAGCUAAACUUUUCAUUCGGCAUGUGCUGAGAUAUGACUCAUUCAGUGUGAGAGGGGAUGCCACAAAAUCCCAUAAAGAAGACGCUAUGAGAAAUCUUAAGAUAGCACUUCAAAACUCAGAAAACCCACCAACCUCUACAUUCAUUCAUCUAAAAAUUCCUCUAUUGGAAGUUCACAAUCAUACAAUUGGAGCAGGAUCCUGUUUUUCAAGACCAAUCCAUCCAAAACUAAAAAAUCAAAGUCAGGAGAUGGUCAGACAAGGGAUAACUAAUAUAGCUUUCGUGAAGAGAGCCUUGAAGCAGUAUGUGCUAAAUGACUUGUGUGGAGAGGAGAUCCUGGAUGGAGGAGGGGAGAGGAUGCUAGAUGGAGGUGGAGGAGAGAUGAUGCUAGAUGGAGGAGGGGAGAGGAUGCUGGAUGGAGGAUGAGGAGAGAGGAUCCUGAAUGGAGGAGGGGAGAGGAUGCUGGAUGGAGGAUGCAGAGGAGAAAUCAUGGUAGACAGAUUAAGGAUCAAAUCGGCACAGGUUGCAAUGAGAGAAAAACUGAAGAAGUUAACGGAUGACUCGUAUUUGUGUGAUGAUUUGGAGACUUUACAAAAAAUGACUGUAGCUCUGGACAAUAUGACACAAACAAUUGAACAACUGUGCAAGAGAGAGAAUGGACUGAUUCUUAAUAAACUGGAUGACAUUGUUAUAUUGAAAAAACAUGAUCUUAGGGCACUGCCAGUUCGAAAGCACAAAUCAAAACUGUCCAGAAAACGAAAAUGGACCCAAGCUCCCUUGUCGCCCCUAAUCGAACAUUGCGAGGAGGAGACACUGGGCCACAGCUCUUCUGCUGUCCUGCACCCAAAAUCCUGAGGAUGCCAUGGAGCUCGGCAAAAAAAUCCCUAGCUAACCCUAAAUAUUUAUAUUAAACCAUUUUGCAACAGG